RNAcentral lists this ribosomal RNA (900 nucleotides) under Apiospora stipae. RNAcentral describes it as "partial large subunit ribosomal RNA". It matches the Rfam family "Eukaryotic large subunit ribosomal RNA", at positions 36 to 964 of the family's 3401-position model. Lineage: Eukaryota; Fungi; Ascomycota; Sordariomycetes; Amphisphaeriales; Apiosporaceae. The record is from RNAcentral.
AAGCAUAUCAAUAAGCGGAGGAAAAGAAACCAACAGGGAUUCCCCUAGUAACGGCGAGUGAAGCGGGAACAGCUCAAAUUUGAAAUCUGGCCCUUGGGUCCGAGUUGUAAUUUGCAGAGGAUGCUUUUGGUGCGGUGCCUUCCGAGUUCCCUGGAACGGGACGCCUUAGAGGGUGAGAGCCCCGUACGGUUGGCCACCAAGCCUGUGUAAAGCUCCUUCGACGAGUCGAGUAGUUUGGGAAUGCUGCUCAAAAUGGGAGGUAUAUUUCUUCUAAAGCUAAAUACUGGCCAGAGACCGAUAGCGCACAAGUAGAGUGAUCGAAAGAUGAAAAGCACUUUGAAAAGAGGGUUAAAUAGCACGUGAAAUUGUUGAAAGGGAAGGAUUUAUGACCAGACUUUUUCUGGGGGGAUCAUCCGGUGUUCUCACCGGUGCACUUCCCCCAGUUGAGGCCAGCAUCGGUUUCUGUCGGGGGAUAAAAGCUUCAGGAAUGUGGCUCCUUCGGGAGUGUUAUAGCCUGUUGCAUAAUACCCUGACGGGGACCGAGGUUCGCGCAUUGCAAGGAUGCUGGCGUAAUGGUUAUUAAUCACCCGUCUUGAAACACGGACCAAGGAGUCGAACAUUUGUGCGAGUGUUUGGGUGUUAAACCCUCACGCGUAAUGAAAGUGAACGGAGGUGAGAGCCUUUAGGGGUGCAUCAUCGACCGAUCCUGAUGUCUUCGGAUGGAUUUGAGUAAGAGCAUAACUGUUCGGACCCGAAAGAUGGUGAACUAUGCGUGGAUAGGGUGAAGCCAGAGGAAACUCUGGUGGAGGCUCGCAGCGGUUCUGACGUGCAAAUCGAUCGUCAAAUCUGCGCAUGGGGGCGAAAGACUAAUCGAACCAUCUAGUAGCUGGUUACCGCCGA